This 786-nucleotide long non-coding RNA is filed under the name Gallus gallus (chicken). RNAcentral's name for it is "lncRNA (ENSGALG00010022658.1)". Lineage: Eukaryota; Metazoa; Chordata; Aves; Galliformes; Phasianidae. The record is from RNAcentral.
AAAAACGUUCCUUCAUUCUUUCCCUUCAUGACAAGCCAUUAAACACAGUCUAGAAUAGUCUUAAAUAACAUCUUGUUUCUAACUGAAUCUUCUUUGAAGCAGAAAGUCACACUAAUCAACCCAGGCAAUUACUAACAGCACAUCUGCACAACGAAUAUCUGAAGUGGAAAACAUUUGCUCCACAGCAGCAUCAUUAUAACGGCAGGAGCAAGGAAGACUAUCACACUGAUGGGAACUGGGGGAUCUUGUUAAAUUCCUAAUGGCCAAUGCUGCUUGUGCUGCUCUGGAAGAAGGAGAGAGCCUUUGAGAAGAUGCUGGCAGAAUGGCAACAAGAAAAUAUGAAGAGCUGCAGGUGGAAGUGAACACUUCCCAGAAGCAAUAUGCAUGACUGAAUGAGGCAUCUCCAGGAAUCAGUUCCAAGGAUGUCACUUGAACUCCCAGAGCCUCCCUUACUUGCUAUACAGGGAGACAAGCUGCCUUGGCUUUUUUUCUUUUUAAUAAAUGAAAAUAUUCUGUAAAUUGUAAAAAUUGAUCUCCUCCAGGAGGCUGAAAGAUGACACUGUCAAUAUUUAGAAGAUGCAGAUUUAGAAUCUGCUUGCCUUUGCAGCCAAGAGAAAAUGGUGAUGGAGUCCCUGGCAGAGAUCCAGCGCUUCCUGGGCUGUCUCUCCCAACCUAUUACUCUGGCCUACAUCACCUGGCAAAGUGCCUCAUUCUGUUGCAUAGAGACAACGUGGAAUCCUAUUUGCAUUUUGUAUGAGCAGCCAUCUGAAAAUGGGAGAGGGGAAG